UACGGGAGGCAGCAGCUAAGAAUAUUCCGCAAUGGGGGGAACCCUGACGGAGCGACGCCGCGUGGAUGAGGAAGGCCGGAAGGUUGUAAAAUCCUUUUAGGCGGGAAGAAUAAGCAUGGCAGGGAAUGGCCGUGCGGUGACGGUACCGCCAGAAUAAGCAACGGCUAAUUACGUGCCAGCAGCCGCGGUAAU
RNAcentral lists this ribosomal RNA (192 nucleotides) under uncultured rumen bacterium. RNAcentral's name for it is "partial 16S ribosomal RNA". It matches the Rfam family "Bacterial small subunit ribosomal RNA", at positions 340 to 524 of the family's 1533-position model. The record is from RNAcentral.